UCUCCGUUGGUGGACCAGCGGAGGGAUCAUUACAGGACUCGCAAGACUCCUACAACCCUGUGAACUUAACUAUAAGCACGUUGCUUCGGCGGGUGUCUCGGAGGGGGUUCUCCCUCCCCGAGACGCUAAACCCGCCGGCAGCCUACUAUACUCUGUCUCUUUGCGUUGGCAUCUCGAGUACAAUCAAACAAGUUAAAACUUUCAACAACGGAUCUCUUGGUUCUG
Molecule: unclassified non-coding RNA, 225 nt
Filed under: plant metagenome
Description: partial contains small subunit ribosomal RNA, internal transcribed spacer 1, and 5.8S ribosomal RNA
Source: RNAcentral